This 510-nucleotide ribosomal RNA is filed under the name uncultured Lactobacillus sp. RNAcentral's name for it is "bacterial SSU rRNA". It matches the Rfam family "Bacterial small subunit ribosomal RNA", at positions 56 to 525 of the family's 1533-position model. The record is from RNAcentral. Lineage: Bacteria; Bacillati; Bacillota; Bacilli; Lactobacillales; Lactobacillaceae.
UGCAAAGUCGAGCGAGCGGGAAACUAACAGAUUUUACUUCGGGUAAUGACGUUAGGGAAAGCGAGCGCGGGAUGGGUGAGUACACGUGGGGGAAUCUGCCCCAUAGUCUGGGAUACCACUUGGAAACAGGUGCUAAUACGGGAUAAGAAAGCAGAUCGCAUGAUCAGCUUUUAAAAAGGCGGCGUAAGCUGUCGCUAUGGGAUGGCCCCGCGGUGCAUUAGCUAGUUGGUAAGGUAAAGGCUUACCAAGGCGAUGAUGCAUAGCCGAGUUGAGAGACUGAUCGGCCACAUUGGGACUGAGACACGGCCCAAACUCCUACGGGAGGCAGCAGUAGGGAAUCUUCCACAAUGGACGCAAGUCUGAUGGAGCAACGCCGCGUGAGUGAAGAAGGUUUUCGGAUCGUAAAGCUCUGUUGUUGGUGAAGAAGGAUAGAGGUAGUAACUGGCCUUUAUUUGACGGUAAUCAACCAGAAAGUCACGGGCUAACUACGUGCCAGCAGCCGCGGUAAAU